GCGGCCGGAGGUUGCCGAAGCGCCGCUCCGCGCCGCGGCCUGCGCCGCCUCGGCCUGUCGUGCCCGCCCCGGCCGGGGCGCCCCCCCCGCGGCCCGGCUGCCGGCGCUGGGCGAGGCCGCGGCUUGGGCCUGGUCGCGAGGAGGGCGAUGGAGGGUUGUGACCCCCCCGUUCAGCACCGCCGGAGCAGCAACACCCCGUCCAUGAGGCCUCAGCGCACAGCGCCCCCGUGAGGUGAUGAGCACGGCGCUGGAGCUGCGUGAGCCCAUUGGGUGCACCCAGCCCCACAUCCCGCCCCAUAGAGCAGGCCCAGCCCCACAUCCACUCCCAUAGAGCACCCCCAGCCCCACACCCCGCCCCAUAGAACACCCCCAGCCCCACAUCCCGCCCCAUAGAACGGACCCAGCCCCACGGGACAGCCCCACAGGACAGCCCCACAGAACAGCCCCAGCACCACAAAACAGCCCCAGCCCCACCUCCCGCCCCAUAGAGCACCCCCAGCCCCACAUCCCGCUCCAUAGAACAGCCCCAGCCCCACAUCCCGCUCCAUAGAGCACCCUCAGCCC
This 564-nucleotide long non-coding RNA is filed under the name Strigops habroptila (Kakapo). Its description in RNAcentral is "lncRNA (ENSSHBG00005012870.1)". Lineage: Eukaryota; Metazoa; Chordata; Aves; Psittaciformes; Psittacidae. The record is from RNAcentral.